CGGAAGGUUGGGUGGACGAAUGGUCAGGGUGACCAGGCCAGGUCCGAAAGGAAGCAGCCACAGUCUGCACUAAUCGGGUCAUCCAGCCUUUCAUGA
This 96-nucleotide non-coding RNA is filed under the name Rhodospirillaceae bacterium. Lineage: Bacteria; Pseudomonadati; Pseudomonadota; Alphaproteobacteria; Rhodospirillales; Rhodospirillaceae. The record is from RNAcentral.